CCUACGGGAGGCAGCAGUGGGGAAUUUUGGACAAUGGGCGCAAGCCUGAUCCAGCAAUGCCGCGUGAGUGAAGAAGGCCUUCGGGUUGUAAAGCUCUUUUGUCAGGGAAGAAACGGGUGGAGCUAAUAUCUCUGCCUAAUGACGGUACCUGAAGAAUAAGCACCGGCUAACUACGUGCCAGCAGCCGCGGUAAUACGUAGGGUGCAAGCGUUAAUCGGAAUUACUGGGCGUAAAGCGUGCGCAGGCGGUUUUGUAAGUCUGUCGUGAAAUCCCCGGGCUCAACCUGGGAAUUGCGAUGGAGACUGCAAGGCUAGAAUCUGGCAGAGGGGGGUAGAAUUCCACGUGUAGCAGUGAAAUGCGUAGAGAUGUGGAGGAACACCGAUGGCGAAGGCAGCCCCCUGGGUCAAGAUUGACGCUCAUGCACGAAAGCGUGGGGAGCAAACAGGAUUAGAUACCCUGGUAGUCCACGCCCUAAACGAUGUCUACUAGUUGUCGGGUCUUAAUUGACUUGGUAACGCNGCUACGACGUGAGUAGACGCCGUCGGGUAGGUACGGUCGCGAGAGUUAAACGUUAAACGUAAGUUAGUACGGCGUGAGACGUAGCCGACGGACGACGACGAGGGAGGAGGG
RNAcentral lists this ribosomal RNA (630 nucleotides) under uncultured bacterium. RNAcentral describes it as "bacterial SSU rRNA". The stretch from base 1 to 540 matches the Rfam family "Bacterial small subunit ribosomal RNA", at positions 338 to 873 of the family's 1533-position model. The record is from RNAcentral.